This is a non-coding RNA of Ictidomys tridecemlineatus (thirteen-lined ground squirrel), 69 nucleotides long. Lineage: Eukaryota; Metazoa; Chordata; Mammalia; Rodentia; Sciuridae. The record is from Rfam.
GGGGUUAUAGCUCAGUGAUAGAGCACUUGUCUAUCAAGUAUGAGGCACUGGGUUCAAUCCUCAGCACCA